Clupea harengus (Atlantic herring) is the source of this 760-nucleotide long non-coding RNA. RefSeq lists it as uncharacterized. The record is from RefSeq and is a predicted model, not a curated record. NCBI's taxonomy places the organism in Eukaryota, Metazoa, Chordata, Actinopteri, Clupeiformes, Clupeidae. The transcript is spliced from 3 exons.
AAAACACACACCAUCAUAAUAAUACAUACUUGAGUCUCUGUGUUAUAUUUGUCCAAAACAAUAUUGCAAAUAUGACCAUCAGACAUCACAAAUCUGUCUGGGUAUAAUAAAGGCAUGAAAUGAGACACUAAACCCCCACAAGCAUGACUGUGCAAAUGAAUAAACCCCUACAAGCAUGACUGUGCAAAUGAAUAAACCCCCACAAGCAUGACUGUGCUAAACCCCCACAAGCAUGACUGUGCAAAUGAAUAAACCCCCACAAGCAUGACCGUGCAAAUGAAUAAAAUCUGAUGACCAUAACUCAGAGGACUGUCCAUUCAACUUUUACAACAAAGUGCCUGUUCACAGGGCUUGGACUUUGUGUUCAGUGUGACUACAGUAGCGGUUCCCUGUUGGACCGUGGCCUGGUGUCACUGUUACCCGACUACACUGCCCCAACCAUUAAUGUCCCUUUCCUCCAUCUUUCCUUUUGUGCUGUUUGCUCUUGCUGCGGUUUGCACUGUGAUUAGGGCCCACUGUGAUUAGGUGUGAUUAGGGCCCACUGUGAUUAGGUGUGAUUAGGGCCCACUGUGAUUAGGUGUGAUUAGGUGUGAUUAGGGCCCACUGUGACAGGAGGACAUCACAUGUGUUAUUGCUCUCUUCAUGCAGCCCAGCUCCUGUCUGUGAUCAUGUGCAUGGAGGUCUUAUAUAUUCUGGAUAAGACUGCAGUGUGCCCGUUGGCUGUUGCGUCUACAUGUUUUAAAGUGCACAUCACUCUUCU